GGCUCAGUGGUCUAGUGGUAUGAUUCUCGCUUUGGGUGCGAGAGGCCAUGGGUUCGAUUCCCGUCGGAGCCC
This 72-nucleotide transfer RNA is filed under the name Nematostella vectensis (starlet sea anemone). It matches the Rfam family "tRNA". Rfam says of the family: Transfer RNA (tRNA) molecules are approximately 80 nucleotides in length. Their secondary structure includes four short double-helical elements and three loops (D, anti-codon, and T loops). Further hydrogen bonds mediate the characteristic L-shaped molecular structure. tRNAs have two regions of fundamental functional importance: the anti-codon, which is responsible for specific mRNA codon recognition, and the 3' end, to which the tRNAs corresponding amino acid is attached (by aminoacyl-tRNA synthetases). tRNAs cope with the degeneracy of the genetic code in two manners: having more than one tRNA (with a specific anti-codon) for a particular amino acid; and 'wobble' base-pairing, i.e. permitting non-standard base-pairing at the 3rd anti-codon position. Lineage: Eukaryota; Metazoa; Cnidaria; Anthozoa; Actiniaria; Edwardsiidae. The record is from Rfam by way of RNAcentral.